This 417-nucleotide ribosomal RNA is filed under the name uncultured prokaryote. Its description in RNAcentral is "bacterial SSU rRNA". It matches the Rfam family "Bacterial small subunit ribosomal RNA", at positions 355 to 776 of the family's 1533-position model. The record is from RNAcentral. RNAcentral also lists the same sequence under 1 other name.
UAGGGAAUUUUGCGCAAUGGACGAAAGUCUGACGCAUCAACGCCGCGUGAGGGAUGAAGGUCUUCGGAUUGUAAACCUCUGUUGAAUGGGAAAAAAAGGUAGCAAUACUUUGAUGGUACCAUUUGAGGAAGCACCGGCUAACUACGUGCCAGCAGCCGCGGUAAUACGUAGGGUGCAAGCGUUGUUCGGAAUCACUGGGCGUAAAGGGAGCGUAGGCGGGAUCGUAAGUUAGGAGUUUAAUACAUGGGCUUAACCCGUGGCUGGCUUUUAAUACUGCGGUUCUUGAGUAUGGGAGAGGGCGAUGGAAUUCCAGGUGUAGCGGUGGAAUGCGUAGAUAUCUGGAAGAACACCAGUAGCGAAGGCGGUCGCCUGGCCCAAUACUGACGCUGAGGCUCGAAAGCUAGGGGAGCAAACAGG